This 478-nucleotide ribosomal RNA is filed under the name uncultured bacterium. Its description in RNAcentral is "partial 16S ribosomal RNA". It matches the Rfam family "Bacterial small subunit ribosomal RNA", at positions 28 to 507 of the family's 1533-position model. The record is from RNAcentral.
GAUGAACGCUGGCGGCGUGCUUAACACAUGCAAGUCGAACGAGAAGUGGAGACGGAAACCUUCGGGCGGAAGACUUUAUUUCGAGUUGCGGACGGGUGAGUAACGCGUGGGUAACCUGCCUCAUUCAGGGGGAUAACAGUUGGAAACGACAGUUAAUACCGCAUAAGACCACAGCAUCGCAUGGUGCGGGGGUAAAAACUCCGGUGGUAUGAGAUGGACCCGCGGUCGAUUAGCCAGCUGGCGGGGUAACGGCCCACCAAAGCGACGAUCGAUAGCCGAUCUGAGAGGAUGACCGGCCACAUUGGGACUGAGGCACAGCCCAAAAUCCUACGCAAGGCAGCAGUGGGGAAUAUUGCACGAUGGGGGAAACCCUGAUGCAGCGACGCCGCGUGAGUGAAGAAGUAUUUCGGUAUGUAAAGCUCUAUCAGCAGGGAAGAAAAUGACGGUACCUGAGUAAGAAGCCCCGGCUAACUACGUG